UAACGAAUCUUCCGCAAUGGGCGCAAGCCUGACGGAGCAAUGCCGCGUGUGGGAUGAAGCGUCUCUGACGUGUAAACCACUGUCAGGGGUUAGAAACAAUGAUCAACCCCCAAAGGAAGUGGCGACUAACUCUGUGCCAGCAGUCGCGGUAAUACAGAGGCCACAAGCGUUAGUCGGAAUCACUGGGCUUAAAGGGUGCGUAGGCUGGUCCGCAAGCGUCUUGUGAAAGCCCUCGGCUCAACCGAGGAACAGCAGGGCGAACUGCGGAUCUUGAGGCAGGUAGGGGUCGCGAGAACAGUAGGUGGAGCGGUGAAAUGCGUAGAUAUCUACUGGAAUGCCGAUGGUGAAGACGCGCGACUGGGCCUGUCCUGACGCUGAGGCACGAAAGCGUGGGGAGCAAACAGGAUUAGAUACCCCCGUAGUCCCUGAGCGGGCUGGCAAGGCGCAU
RNAcentral lists this ribosomal RNA (448 nucleotides) under uncultured bacterium. Its description in RNAcentral is "bacterial SSU rRNA". It matches the Rfam family "Bacterial small subunit ribosomal RNA", at positions 355 to 825 of the family's 1533-position model. The record is from RNAcentral.